CAGCCGCCGCGGUAAUACGAAGGGGGCUAGCGUUGUUCGGAAUUACUGGGCGUAAAGCGCGCGUAGGCGGUUACUCAAGUCAGAGGUGAAAGCCCGGGGCUCAACCCCGGAACUGCCUUUGAAACUAGGUGACUAGAAUCUUGGAGAGGUCAGUGGAAUUCCGAGUGUAGAGGUGAAAUUCGUAGAUAUUCGGAAGAACACCAGUGGCGGAGGCGACUGACUGGACAAGUAUUGACGCUGAGGUGCGAAAGCGUGGGGAGCAAACAGGAUUAGAUACCCCAGUAGUCCCUGUCUCUUAUAC
This 301-nucleotide ribosomal RNA is filed under the name uncultured bacterium. Its description in RNAcentral is "partial 16S ribosomal RNA". It matches the Rfam family "Bacterial small subunit ribosomal RNA", at positions 509 to 807 of the family's 1533-position model. The record is from RNAcentral.